GGUAGUGUGGCCGAGCGGUCUAAGGCGCUGGAUUUAGGCUCCAGUCUCUUCGGAGGCGUGGGUUCGAAUCCCACCACUGCCA
Molecule: non-coding RNA, 82 nt
Organism: Mus musculus (house mouse)
Lineage: Eukaryota; Metazoa; Chordata; Mammalia; Rodentia; Muridae
Source: Rfam